UUAAAAACCUCAUGUACAACUAUAGAGAAAAAUUAUUUCGAAUAGAUGCAACUGCCGAUUUCCUUUUAGUUAUGUUACUCCAUUUAAAUACGGCUACUGAACAUGCUGAGAAGAGUAUUCUUAAUUUGAAUUCACUUAAAACAACUGCAAAAUACAAUUUGUUGCAAAAGACUAUCAGUGAUAAAAAGGUGAACACUGUUACAUGUACAUCUCCAUGUACAAUCGUAUGUAUUUUUGUUUCAACUUUUAUAUACAUAUACAUACAUAUACAUACAUAUACAUACAUAUACAUACAUANNNNNNNNNNAUACAUAUACAUACAUAUACAUACAUAUACAUACAUAUACAUACAUAUACAUACAUAUACAUACAUAUACAUACAUAUACAUACAUAUACAUACAUAUACAUACAUAUAUAUAUAUGUACAACCACGUGUACAUGAUUUACUUUACACCUUUUCUACUCACUAUAGAUCAACAAAAAAAAGAAAAGGAACUUUAAACACAUUGCUCCAUUCAAUUUCUUCCGUGAAGAACCAGAAGAAAGUAUAGGAAACGAGUCUAUUCUUGCUAUGGAUGAUAUUAUAAAAACAUGUUCAUUAGCAAAAAGUACAAAUCAAUAUGCCUCACUUUACGAGUUAAGUAAAGAGUUAUGGCUAACUGUACAAAAUAUGUAUUCUGCGUCUUAUGGUUUUGUUGGAUCAAAAAAAUUAAAAGUUCCAACGUUUGUUUUAUCAAAAAUAAGAAAUGUAGGGUUCUUGUUGAAAUGGUUUAAUAAUAAAAAUUUACCAAAUAAUAAUGUAAACUUUAUGGUUUCCCAUUAUUCUCCUUUGAUAUCGGCUAGUUUGCAAUUAAGUAAGUUUUUUUUUUUUUUUUUUUUUUUUGCUCCUUAACAUGACUUGUUUACAUACUACAUGUACGUAACAUCAUACAUUUAUACAUACACACACGCACAUAUAUAUAUAUAUAUAUAUAUAUAUAUAUGCUACUUUAUUUUAUUUUAUUUUUUUUUUUUUUGUGUAGCUUUUUUUAUCAGAUCAAUGAUAGAAGAAUAUAAACCAAGCUUUCUUAGUAAUUUUUCGGCAGUUUUAAAAAAAGUUUUAACAUUAGGAAGAAGUGGAGGUAUACCUAAAAAUUACCUUGACUUAGAAGAAUAUUCAGAAGUUGAUUAUUUAUUAAGAUCCAACAAGUAUGAUAGAGUACAGAGAGUUAUAAAUCAAACUGUUAAAGUUUUUAAAAAAAAAUUCUUAUCAGCAUCUUUUACUCCAACAAUUUUUGCUCAAUACAUUUCUUUGUUCUUAUCUUUAUGGGUUUUUGAAAAUGAAAAAAAUGUUUCAUGGGAAAAUACAAACAUAACUAGAUUUAAAAAAUUAUUUUUUACGUCUUAUUUCGCCCACAAAUCCGGACCAGUCGAAAAGGCAACCGAAAUAGUAUAUAAUAAAUGCCAUAAAAAAACUGACGCAAUUGUGUUAGGAUGUAUAGCUGAUUAUGGUGGAAAACGUAGAAAAAGGUUGAAAUUUAUAACAAAAAAAUGUAAACCAACAAGAAUACCAAUCAGAAAAAGAAAUAUUCGUAACAUAUUAAAAACAGUUAUGACCACAUUAUCAGACCCAUUGGAUAUUCUAAAAAUCGCUACCGAUUUAUCUACAAGAUGUUCACAUUAUAGUCGAAGUGGUUCAAUGGAUAAAAAAAGAAAAGACAAAAAAAAAAUGAAUUAUGAUGUAUUUACAAGAUCAGAAUUAUCCUUUAGAUUUAUUUGUGCCCAAGUUACAAAAAAUCUUGUAAGCAAGGCAAUAAAUAACGUAUCUAAACUUAAAGACUUCAGUAAAGCUGAGUAUGUAAUUGAACAAACACUAAAUAGCAUACAAUAUUUAAAAAUAAGAAAUCACAGAGAUAAAAGUAAUGUAAUAACUAUCCUUUGUCCUUUUAUGGAAAAAAAUGAUCCACAAAUAAGGGAUUUGGAAAGAGCUAAUAUUAGUCUUUUUGUUUAUAAAAACGUUGGAUUGUUAAAAAUGAUAAAAGGAAAAAUAAAAACUAAAAUAUUCAGAAGAUCUGUUUCGAUUAGAAGAGGUAUUGUUUCAGACAGCCCAGUUUUAAUAAAAGUUGGAGCUCGAAAAUUUAAUGGUUUAUUGUAUUCUGGAGGAUACCAUUUAAAUGUUCCCGGCAUUCAGAAUGAUACUUAUCACAUUGGACUUUCUCAUACAAGAAUGGUUUAUAAUGGAGAAAAAUUCGUUGACGAGCUAGAAAUACUAAGACCUAAUGGUGUUAAAAAAAUUAUUAUGCAAGAUACAAAUAAUGACGAUAGAAGAAUGUUUGUUUUAGAAGAUAACACUGUAGUAUCUGAAUUUGAUUAUGCUAUACAUAAUCCUAUGGCUAAUAUAGCCGUUUUUGAAGGAAAUAAUUAUAUAGCAUCCCAUGCCCUUUAUGGUAUAUUAAUGGAAAGUGAAAGAAUUGUUUGGACUGGACCGCAGACCGGAUGGGUUGUAGAAUUUGCCUUGAACACCGUUUCCAACACUCCAAUUCCAAUAUUUGAUGGAAAUGCAUGGGUUUUACUUGAAAAGUUAAGCAUUAAAAGUAUUUUAGGUAAGAAAUGAAACAAUAUGGUAAAAA
Molecule: long non-coding RNA, 2610 nt
Filed under: Piliocolobus tephrosceles (Ugandan red Colobus)
Lineage: Eukaryota; Metazoa; Chordata; Mammalia; Primates; Cercopithecidae
Description: lncRNA (ENSPTEG00000013608.1)
Source: RNAcentral